GUCGUAACAAGGUUUCCGUAGGUGAACCUGCGGAAGGAUCAUUCACACACAAACGUGUUGCUAAUCCACACCUAUCACCGUUGAACUUUCAAGUGUGAGCUCGCGCUUGGCCUUGCACGCCGAGCAGCGCUGCUCGAGGGCGGCGAGGGUGACGGGCACCACGCGAUUCCCGAAUGAGGGAAGGCGCCGAAAGCAAUGUCGGUUGCCGGUGCGCUGUUGUCUUUUUGUCGCCGGACUCUGCGAACUCUUCUUGCGAGUUGUGCUCUCACUGCCCCGUCGGCGGCGACCGCCGCGUGGUGAAUGCUUUGGUUACAACUUUCAGCGAUGGAUGUCUAGGCUCAAACGUCGAUGAAGGGCGCAGCGAAGUGUGAUAUGCAUUGCGACUUGCAGAAUUCCGUGAACCAACAGGGAUUUGAACGUAUACUGCGCUUUUGGGAUAGCCCCGAGAGCAUGCCUGCUUCAGAGUCAACUUUGGUCUCAUGCUGCCGGUGCGUCCCUCGGCAGGGGGGCGCUGUGAGUCGGCAGGCCGCGUCUGUGCACCAAGGAGCCCUGUGCCCUUGAUGCAUGCAGAGCAUCUGCCCGCCGAGCGGUGCGCAACUGACAGAAUGCGAUUGUCGCUGCCUGUUGCUGUUGAACGACCCUCGGUGAGUUGGUCGGUUGAUUUGGUUUGAAAGGUUGAUUGUGUGGCGUCACUUGGCCCACGGCGUGGCUAAUUCUUUGAUAUGAAGUCAGGUCAGCAAACCCGCUGAAUUUAAGCAUAUAAGUAAGCGGUGGAUAAGAAACUAAACAGGAUUCCCUCAGUAAUGGCGAAUGAACAGGGACAAGCUCAGCAUUGAAAUUUGGGCCCUCGGCCUUGAAUUGUAAUUUCGAGAUGUGCAACCAAUGGAGGCGCAGGUGGAAGCCGCUUGGAAAGGCGCACCGGCGAGGGUGAGAGUCCCGUACGUCACUUGCAGUCCUCUGUGUACGGUGUAGCUUCUAAGAGUCACGUUCCUCGGGCUUGGAGCGCCAACGGUGGUAAAUUUCAUCUAAAGCUAAAUACAAGUUUGAGACCGAUAGCAAACAAGUACCAUGAGGGAAAGAUGAAAAGGACUUUGGAAAGAGAGUUAAAAGUGCCUGAAAUUGCUGAAAGGGAAGCGAAUGGAAUCAGUGUUUCUUGGCGAGAUUGUUACGUGCCAAGUGGAUAGCCGGUUGCUUCAACGCAAGUGUGGUUGCUGGCUCUGAUGCAGCCGCGUGCGGUGCUUCUUGCCUUGCUAGUCAACGUCAAUUUGGAGUUGAGGAAAACUCAAGGUAAAUGGUAGUUUGCCUACGGGUGACCGAGUGUGCCUUGCAGAACUCAUCAUUGGAUUGAAUGAUGACAAAAUGGUUUCACUCGACCCGUCUUGAAACACGGACCAAGGAGUCUAACAUAUGUGCAAGUUCCCGGGUGGCCAAACCUGCUGGCAUAAUGAAAGCGACUGCUGGGAUCCUUGCACCAGCAACCGACCAAUCGACUUUGAGAGGUUUGAGUACGAGCACAUCUGUUAGGACCCGAAAGAUGGUGAACUAUGCGUGA
RNAcentral lists this ribosomal RNA (1552 nucleotides) under Scrippsiella hangoei. RNAcentral's name for it is "eukaryotic LSU rRNA". The stretch from base 719 to 1552 matches the Rfam family "Eukaryotic large subunit ribosomal RNA", at positions 1 to 840 of the family's 3401-position model. The record is from RNAcentral. Lineage: Eukaryota; Dinophyceae; Peridiniales; Peridiniaceae.